CGCAAGAAUCUGUGCAGGUAAAUGAAGCCUAACCUUAACCUGCAGGAAAGGCUGCAGAGUCAGACUCCUGGCUCAACUGACAGGGCCCUGCGAGAAGGAACAGCGGAGCACUUGAAAAAGAAGCAAUGAUGAUGAAGAAGACAAGGAGAAAAGUCUGUGGAGUGGAGGCUGCAAAGUGUGGUGUGGGAGGAAGCAAACAGGUAAAUGUUCCCAAGUUCCUGCAGCUACAAAGGAGCGUUGAGAGGCAGAGCCUAGCGGUGGAGGCGGAAAGACUACACCCCCCUCCAAACAGAACCUGUCAGGGCUUUUUGUGAGCACUUUGCCUCUGUGAAUGCUCCAACAGCCAAUAAACACGUGUGUCCUUCCUUCAGAAGAAAGCAGGUGCCGUCAUCAACCAGAUCAGUUGUCCAGAAAGAAAUGAUUCUGUUGGAAAAAAUGCAUUCCUUAAAGCAGAGACUAUCCUCAAAACUGCCCUGUGGCUCUCAGCAGAGUCCCCCAAAGCUUGGAUUUAGAUGUGAGAGACCAGAGAUGGCAGGUGGAGACCCAGAAGCUUCGCUACUAAGCACAGAGCAAUGCGAGAGAUGUCAAGAGCUAGAGGGGCAGAGAAUUUAGUAGGCCAGCACCAUGCUGAACCUCCAGGCAGAGAAGAGUUCAAGGAAGUCCAAAGAAAUCACGAAGCAGGGAACAGAAGUGGAGUGAAGAAACUGGCAGAAAAUUAACGUGCAAUUGCAUCCCCAAACCUGAGCCACAAGGAUUCAUCAUACGGCACAAUAAGCACGGAGCAUUGGCAGGACAAAUGAAAUGUCAAUAGCUCCUUAGGGCUGGUUUAAUGGAUCUUUCAUAAAACCAUUGGCUGGAAUCAAAAUAACUCACAAGAGAAACAAUUCUCUCUCUCAUCAUCAAAGAGGUUGAGAAGUAUGUAGUGCUUAACAGCUGCAGGAAGAGAAGGGCUCACAUUUGACCUGCUCAUAACAACUUCUCUAAUCAUUUCUAAUUUUUCUUCUCUGGACAUUCACCUCUCAACCUCUAAUCAAAGCGAGGUCCACAGACCAGCCGUGGCCACACCACCUGGGAGCUUGUUACAGAAUCUCAGGCCUGUGCCCAGACCUACUGACUCUGAAUCUGCAUGUUAGUAGGAUCUCAGUUGAUUCCUCUCUGCUGUAAAGUUGGAAAAGCGUAUCUCCUAGCACCUAUUCUUACCCCUUAUCAUCCAUUCUCUGCACAGUUGCCUGAGUAAUCUUUUAAUUUAGUUUGUGUCCCCACUGAUUAUUCCCCCUGUAGAAGGAAAGCCCUGCGAGGGCAGGAGCAGGGCGUGGGCUGGGCCCCACUAAGUCCUCCGGCAUUUACUGGUGAGCUAUUCCCUACAAGGCAGUCUGCUAGGGACCAGGGAAACAAUACAAAUAGAGGAGGGCUUCUUUCCUCAAGCAGCUUUUAGCUACCUCUCUCCUUUCACAUUUUCACUUCCCAAAGCCCAACAUUAGAGUCACCUUUGAGUCCUUCUGCUUUUCGUUCCUCCUACCGGUCAAGGUCUUGGCUAGUCUCUGUUUAUCAGUUCAAGCUCAAGAAACAUCCCUCACUGUCAUGACCUCUCGUUGCAUGCCCACAGUCAACAGUUGCUUCUAGCCUCCAUUUUUUCCUGAAUGAUUUCAAAGUGAUGCUUUCUUCAACGUGCUCUCUCACACACAAGUCUAAUUUAUCUCAUGCGGCUAUAAAAAAAAAGUCAUCUGAACAUGCAGUUGGGGUCAUAAUGGUCUUUUAUUCAAUAUACACUCAAUAGCUUCCCAUUGAACACUGAAAAAAACCCUCCUCAACUUGGCAUUUAAGGUCCACUGCCAAUGUAUUAAGUUGAACUGAAUAAAACGGAACAGAAUAUUACCCAUUUCAUACGUUGCCACCUAAUAGUAUUCACGUACCUUUCCAUCCUUAUCGUCUAAGAAUGCCCUUCUGUCCUGCACACUAGAAUACAAAUGAGAUCAGUCUACACUUUCCAAGCAUGUUCACUUCCUUCGGUUCCUCUGCUAAUGUUUAUUCUUCUUGGAGCUCCUCCAUGCAUUCUCUCUCCCUUGAAUACUUCCAUUCAUCCCCAAGUUCCAUCUCAAAGGACUCACCCUCCGUGAUGUAUUUCCUGUUGAGUCCCUUCUCAAUUGUUAGUAAUCCUGCCAUGCAGUGAAGUCCCUUAGGAAAUGAUUCAUGUGUCUCUUACAGUACCAAUGAGCAUUGGUGCUACUUCUCGUCUUAUUCUUCUAUACUGAGCACUGAGCUCCCAAAGUGUUUUGCUGAAUAUAUUCCUUUGCAAGUAGAGCAUCUUAAUACAUAUUUGUGUAAUUGUUAGUACUCUCAGUUAUUUUUCUGGGUCAGUUUUACUUAAGUUUAAAUGUGGUAUUUUCUCACUGUACAUGAUAGUCCCUGCUUGUUUAUUAUUUUAGCCAUUUGAAACUUCCUUUGUCAUUAUUUAAAUUACGGAAAAAAAACCCUUUGCAAGAUAAGGCAUCCAUUAUGCUAUCUAGCACCUGAAUUUUCUAAUUUUCUUACAUAGAUUACACAGUUCAGUAAUGUAAAUUCAUUGUAAUGACAUAGGAGAUGCUUUAUUAAUUCAUUUUAAAACCUCCUCAUUUAUCUCUGAUAUUACUCCUUAAAGAAGAAAGUUCCCCAGGUCAAAUAGAAAAUAUACAUUAAAAAUAUAAAAUCUACCAGAACUUGAAUAGUAUAGUGAAGUAUUUGAAGAUCUAUUUACCUCUUCAUUAUGUAUAUUAAAAAAAGAAUCUACACGCAUACCAUUUAACCUUAUUGCAGCAACAUAUAUUUCAUGUGCAUACAGGAAACAUUAAAACAAUGACUAAGAGCUCAAAACUUACUAGAAAAAAAUGCUGUGCAUUGUGAUUAGUGUGAAAGACUCUGGGCCUGUCUUGUAUUUGAUUGUUCACCUGGAGUCUCAGUUCAUUCGUUUGUAAAAUGGACACCACGCUCACUUCCCAGGAUUACAGCAAGAGCUCAAAUGAGACUCCAUGACAUGCACUAAGGGCUUAGAAUAUUAUCUGGCACAUUGUCAACAAAAAUCAUAAUUUUAUUAAUAAAGAUAAAUGACAACAAGAAAGGAUAGAUUUCUCUAAAGCUGUUAUGAUUCUAGAAGUUUCUUUAUAGAUUCCUUAAGUAUAUAUGCAUAAAAUGAUGUCAUACUGAAGUAGUCCAUAAUGAGCAUGACAGUGUUGGAGAGGACUAUGACAUCACUGCUAGUGUUACAUUGGAAAGAGGGGGAGAGCAACAGCCUCCUCCCUUCCGCUGCAGCACAGUCUGGGCCGAAGCCGCGCGGAGCAGUAAACAAUGUCGAGCCCGGGAUGUUCGGUGAGUGUCCAGAAAGCAAAACUCAUGCUGCAGUUUGGCCUCUUUCCCCAGCUGAUGAAAGUGAAAGGACAUUGCAACAAUUCUUUCCACCUUCACCUAAAACCAGAAAAAUUCUUUUCCAUAGAGCCUGGAGAAAAUUUUACACAUGGUUUGCCUGCUUUUCUACCUGGUAUUAUCUAAUUUAUUACCAUAAAUUAAGGGUUUAUAAUGAACAAGUUAGGUAACUAAAAAAAUGUGCUAAAUGUCUGUCUCAUGGUACGUAAUCUCAUGAAAAACAA
Long non-coding RNA from Phyllostomus hastatus (greater spear-nosed bat), 3620 nucleotides. RefSeq lists it as uncharacterized. Lineage: Eukaryota; Metazoa; Chordata; Mammalia; Chiroptera; Phyllostomidae. The transcript has 3 exons. The record is from RefSeq and is a predicted model, not a curated record.